AGCGGCGGACGGGUGAGUAACACGUGGGUAACCUACCUAUAAGACUGGAAUAACUCCGGGAAACCGGGGCUAAUGCCGGAUAACAUUUAGAACCGCAUGGUUCUAAAGUGAAAGAUGGUUUUGCUAUCACUUAUAGAUGGACCCGCGCCGGAUUAGCUAGUUGGUGAGGUAAAGGCUCACCAAGGCGACGAUCAGUAGCUGGUCUGAGAGGACGACCAGCCACACUGGAACUGAGACACGGUCCAGACUCCUACGGGAGGCAGCAGUGGGGAAUUUUGGACAAUGGGCGCAAGCCUGAUCCAGCAAUGCCGCGUGAGUGAAGAAGGCCUUCGGGUUGUAAAGCUCUUUUGUCAGGGAAGAAACGGCUGUGGCUAAUAUCCACGGCUAAUGACGGUACCUGAAGAAUAAGCACCGGCUAACUACGUGCCAGCAGCCGCGGUAAUACGUAGGGUGCAAGCGUUAAUCGGAAUUACUGGGCGUAAAGCGUGCGCAGGCGGUUUUGUAAGUCUGUCGUGAAAGCCCCGGGCUCAACCUGGGAAUUGCGAUGGAGACUGCAAGGCUUGAAUCUGGCAGAGGGGGGUAGAAUCCCACGUGUAGCAGUGAAAUGCGUAGAGAUGUGGAGGAACACCGAUGGCGAAGGCAGCCCCCUGGGUCAAGAUUGACGCUCAUGCACGAAAGCGUGGGGAGCAAACAGGAUUAGAUACCCUGGUAGUCCACGCCCUAAACGAUGUCUACUAGUUGUCGGGUUUUAAUUAACUUGGUAACGCAGCUAACGCGUGAAGUAGACCGCCUGGGGAGUACGGUCGCAAGAUUAAAACUCAAAGGAAUUGACGGGGACCCGCACAAGCGGUGGAUGAUGUGGAUUAAUUCGAUGCAACGCGAAAAACCUUACCUACCCUUGACAUGGAAGGAAUCCCGGAGAGAUUUGGGAGUGCCCGAAAGGGAACCUUCACACAGGUGCUGCAUGGCUGUCGUCAGCUCGUGUCGUGAGAUGUUGGGUUAAGUCCCGCAACGAGCGCAACCCUUGUCAUUAGUUGCUACGCAAGAGCACUCUAAUGAGACUGCCGGUGACAAACCGGAGGAAGGUGGGGAUGACGUCAAGUCCUCAUGGCCCUUAUGGGUAGGGCUUCACACGUCAUACAAUGGUACAUACAGAGGGCCGCCAACCCGCGAGGGGGAGCUAAUCCCAGAAAGUGUAUCGUAGUCCGGAUCGUAGUCUGCAACUCGACUACGUGAAGUUGGAAUCGCUAGUAAUCGCGGAUCAGCA
RNAcentral lists this ribosomal RNA (1267 nucleotides) under uncultured bacterium. RNAcentral's name for it is "bacterial SSU rRNA". It matches the Rfam family "Bacterial small subunit ribosomal RNA", at positions 94 to 1354 of the family's 1533-position model. The record is from RNAcentral.